RNAcentral lists this long non-coding RNA (651 nucleotides) under Cotesia glomerata. Its description in RNAcentral is "uncharacterized LOC123266591, transcript variant X3". Lineage: Eukaryota; Metazoa; Arthropoda; Insecta; Hymenoptera; Braconidae. The record is from RNAcentral.
UUUUCAUCCGUUCUAAAUGGCCUUUAACGAUUAGUAAAAAUGAUAAAUUCCUGAUAUUUAGCGGGCAUCGCGGGACUUGUUAAAUCACUGUUGUUGAACUUACAUCUUCGGAAAGUUAGAAUAACUUGAAAAUAGUCUAAAAUUUUAAUGAACGACUUUAAUAACAAUCAAAAUUCAUUCCAGUGAUUCAUUUGUCUUGAUCAAAAAAAUCGUCGAAGUUUUGAUUAAUCCACUAAUAAAGAAUGUCACUAUUUAAAGUUUUAUUUAUAAUUGUAAUUAUGAUUACUUGUGUAUUGGCACGAAGUUUGCAACAGAAUAAUUUCUCAAACGAAUCAACGGAUUUCAUCAAAAUUGAGUCACCGUCAUUAGAGAACCUCCCAAAUAAAUUCAAAAUUCCGCUGGCAAGAACAAAAAGAUCUACUCGGAGAAGAGAAAAGAAUCGUUCAGUUUUGAGAUGUUACUUUAACGCCAUAACAUGUUUUUGAUAGACAUCUAAGAAAAUUAUUUUUCAACUGUUAAAAUUAGGUAGUUUUUUCAAAUUUAUUAUUUUUAUAUAUUAAAUUAUGAUCUUCAAUCACCAGUAUUAUGAAUAUCAACUACUAUUGAAUCAAAUAUUGAAUAUGAAGUCAAAUAAAUCUCUUUUCAAUUUUA